RNAcentral lists this ribosomal RNA (948 nucleotides) under Compsopogon caeruleus. Its description in RNAcentral is "partial Bacterial large subunit ribosomal RNA". It matches the Rfam family "Bacterial large subunit ribosomal RNA", at positions 402 to 1362 of the family's 2925-position model. The record is from RNAcentral. Lineage: Eukaryota; Rhodophyta; Compsopogonophyceae; Compsopogonales; Compsopogonaceae.
GUGGACCCGAGUAGCAUGGGGCACGUGAAAUCCCGUGUGAAUCAGCGAGGACCACCUCGUAAGGCUAAAUAUUACUGAAUAACCGAUAGUGAAACAGUACCGUGAGGGAAAGGUGAAAAGAACCCCGGGAGGGGAGUGAAAUAGAACAUGAAACCGUAAGCUUACAAGCAGUGGAAGAACGACUUAACGUUUGACCUCGUGCCUGUUGAAGAAUGAGCCGGCGACUUGUAUGUAGUGGCAGGUUAAAGCAGAGAAUGCUGGAGCCAUAGUGAAAGCGAGCUUGAAUAGAGCGAUAGUCACUAUUUACAGACCCGAACCCGGAUGAUCUAGCCAUGGCCAGGAUGAAACUUAGGUAACACUAAGUGGAGGUCCGAACCGACUGAUGUUGAAAAAUCAACGGAUGAGCUGUGGCUAGCGGUGAAAUACCAAUCGAAUUCGGAGCUAGCUGGUUCUCCCCGAAAUGCGUUGAGGCGCAGCGGUUGAAAUUAAACUUAGGGGUAAAGCACUGUUUCGGUGCGGGCUGCGAAAGUGGUACCAAAUCGAUGCAAACUAAGAAUACUAAGUGAUGAAUCAAUCAGUGAGACAGUGAGGGAUAAGCUUCAUUGUCAAAAGGGAAACAGCCCAGACCACCAGUUAAGGCCCCUAAAUAGUUACUAAGUGGCAAAGGAGGUGGGAAUGCAUUAACAACCAGGAGGUUUGCUUAGAAGCAGCAAUCCUUUAAAGAGUGCGUAAUAGCUCACUGGUCUAGUGAUCCUGCGCCGAAAAUGAACGGGACUAAGUAACUUGCCGAAUCUGUGGGAUGUUUAUGCAUCGGUAGGGGAGCGUUCUGCUUAGAUUGAAGCAUUAAUGAAAGUGGAUGUGGACAAAGCAGAAGUGAGAAUGUCGGCUUGAGUAGCGAAAACAUUGGUGAGAAUCCAAUGCCCCGAAAACCUAAGGAUUCCUCUGGAA